GACGAACGCUGGCGGCGUGCCUAAUACAUGCAAGUAGAACGCUGAAGAGAGGAGCUUGCUCUUCUUGGAUGAGUUGCGAACGGGUGAGUAACGCGUAGGUAACCUGCCUUGUAGCGGGGGAUAACUAUUGGAAACGAUAGCUAAUACCGCAUAACAAUGGAUGACACAUGUCAUUUAUUUGAAAGGGGCAAUUGCUCCACUACAAGAUGGACCUGCGUUGUAUUAGCUAGUAGGUGAGGUAAUGGCUCACCUAGGCGACGAUACAUAGCCGACCUGAGAGGGUGAUCGGCCACACUGGGACGGAGACACGGCCCAGACUCCUACGGGAGGCAGCAGUAGGGAAUCUUCGGCAAUGGGGGCAACCCUGACCGAGCAACGCCGCGUGAGUGAAGAAGGUUGUCGGAUCGUAAAGCUCUGUUGUAAGUCAAGAACGGGUGUGAGAGUGGAAAGUUCACACUGUGACGGUAGCUUACCAGAAAGGGACGGCUAACUACGUG
This 497-nucleotide ribosomal RNA is filed under the name uncultured bacterium. RNAcentral's name for it is "partial 16S ribosomal RNA". It matches the Rfam family "Bacterial small subunit ribosomal RNA", at positions 28 to 507 of the family's 1533-position model. The record is from RNAcentral.